RNAcentral lists this ribosomal RNA (250 nucleotides) under uncultured bacterium. RNAcentral's name for it is "partial 16S ribosomal RNA". It matches the Rfam family "Bacterial small subunit ribosomal RNA", at positions 524 to 773 of the family's 1533-position model. The record is from RNAcentral.
GACGUAGGGGGCCAGCGUUGUUCGGAAUUACUGGGUGUAAAGGGUUCGUAGGCGGUGUGGCAAGUCGGGAGUGAAAUCUCUGGGCUCAACUCAGAGGCUGCUUCCGAAACUGCUGUGCUUGAGUGUGGGAGAGGCGCGUGGAAUUGCAGGUGUAGCGGUGAAAUGCGUAGAUAUCUGCAGGAACACCCGUGGCGAAAGCGGCGCGCUGGACCACUACUGACGCUGAGGAACGAAAGCUAGGGGAGCAAAC